RNAcentral lists this ribosomal RNA (452 nucleotides) under uncultured bacterium. RNAcentral describes it as "bacterial SSU rRNA". It matches the Rfam family "Bacterial small subunit ribosomal RNA", at positions 340 to 786 of the family's 1533-position model. The record is from RNAcentral.
UACGGAAGGCAGCAGGGGGAAUAUUGCACAAUGGGCGCAAGCCUGAUGCAGCCAUGCCGCGUGUAUGAAGAAGGCCUUCGGGUUGUAAAGUACUUUCAGUCGUGAGGAGGGUGUUAAGGUUAAUAACCUUAGCAAUUGACGUUAGCGACAGAAGAAGCACCGGCUAACUCCGUGCCAGCAGCCGCGGUAAUACGGAGGGUGCGAGCGUUAAUCGGAAUUACUGGGCGUAAAGGGCACGCAGGCGGUUAAUUAAGUUGGAUGUGAAAUCCCCGGGCUUAACCUGGGAAUGGCAUUCAAGACUGGUUAGCUAGAGUCUUGUAGAGGGGGUAGAAUUCCAUGUGUAGCGGUGAAAUGCGUAGAGAUGUGGAGGAAUACCGGUGGCGAAGGCGGCCCCUGGACAAAGACUGACGCUCAUGUGCGAAAGCGUGGGGAGCAAACAGGGAUUAGAUACC